UCCCCGGUGGUGUAAUAGGCAACACAUCAGGUUUUGGUCCUGACAUUCGAGGUUCGAGUCCUCGCCGGGGAACCA
Molecule: transfer RNA, 75 nt
Filed under: Planctomycetota bacterium
Lineage: Bacteria; Pseudomonadati; Planctomycetota
Description: Planctomycetes bacterium tRNA-Gln
Rfam family: tRNA
About the family: Transfer RNA (tRNA) molecules are approximately 80 nucleotides in length.
Source: RNAcentral